This 498-nucleotide long non-coding RNA is filed under the name Mus musculus (house mouse). RNAcentral's name for it is "predicted gene, 47559". Lineage: Eukaryota; Metazoa; Chordata; Mammalia; Rodentia; Muridae. The record is from RNAcentral.
UAAGUCCUCCUGAGACCCAGGCUUCUCAGAGUCCUGGUGGAUCCUCUUUUUUUCUGAGGAUUUUGUGUUCCUGACGUGGCCAUCAGAACCUGCUGUCCUAGAAGAAGAUGGCACCUAUGCUCAAUGUAUGGCAGGAGAAUGCAGUGCUCGCUGGAUGUGGUUGACUGGAGGAGGAGAUGCUUAAUCCUGUAGGUGUCAUUACCAGGGCUCUACAAAUGCCAGGCCUCUGUGCAGCUGGGACUUCUCUGGAGAGGAGACAUGGAGGAGUGGGGACAUAUGCCUCUGUGUCCCUCCCUGUCCCUCCAUGUGCCUCCCUGUCCCUCCACUCGCAGUAGCACAAGCUCUUUCUGUUUGCUGUGUUCUCACAGUGCAGGGAGGGAGUGCGGGAGCAAGCUUCCUGGUGUAUCUUAAGUUAAGGACAUUAAUCUAGUCACGAGGACCUCAGCUAACCUUAAGUAAUCCCAGAGGCACCAGUUCAAUAUUAAUUCUGAAGGGACA